This 627-nucleotide long non-coding RNA is filed under the name Cicer arietinum (chickpea). Its description in RNAcentral is "long non-coding RNA (CARI_LNC002770)". The record is from RNAcentral. Lineage: Eukaryota; Viridiplantae; Streptophyta; Magnoliopsida; Fabales; Fabaceae.
UUAAUCACUCACACUUGAAUUCAACAAUGAAACUUAACCGACGGGACAUGCCUCUUGACUACACCGUCAGGAAGACUUUCGAUACCCUGAUUUAGAUACCACUUGUUGGGGAGUCCGAGAGAGCGUGAGAGCAACAAUGGAAAAAAUAUUUCAAGACCAUAAGAGACUUUGACACCAUAUUAAUGAAGUUCUUUGGAUAUAUAAGGGAGGUGAUCCAUAUACCUAAUGUCUUCAGAUUUUGGGGUGAGAUGUGGUGUCAAAGUCUCUUGUGGUCAUGAAGUAUUUGGUCCCUUGAUGCUCUCGCGCUCUCCUAAACUCCCCAAUAGAUUGAAGGUUGAGAGUAAUACAUACUAGACAAUUAUUAUUUAUUAUUGUACUUGCACUUCAAGAACUUCAAUUUAAUCUCACUAAAGAUUUCAGUUGAACCAAUUGGAAAUAGACAUGAUAUAGAGAUCACAUUGCAUGAAAUUUCCAUGUCACACAUCCAUAUCGAUCUAUGUCAUCAAAUGCAUUGAUGUGGUCAUAGUUAUUUAGUCACGUUAUACAUUAGUGACAAUAUUCACGGUGGUCGCAUUAUUGUUGAAUGAGGUAGACCAAAUUGUAAAGAAAAAAUAUAAAGAUAAGUAG